AUUGAACGCUGGCGGCAUGCCUUACACAUGCAAGUCGAACGGUAACAGGUCUUCGGAUGCUGACGAGCGGCGAACGGGUGAGUAAUACAUCGGAACGUGCCUAGUAGUGGGGGAUAACUACUCGAAAGAGUGGCUAAUACCGCAUGAGAUCUACGGAUGAAAGCAGGGGAUCGCAAGACCUUGUGCUACUAGAGCGGCCGAUGGCAGAUUAGGUAGUUGGUGGGAUAAAAGCUUACCAAGCCGACGAUCUGUAGCUGGUCUGAGAGGACGAUCAGCCACACUGGGACUGAGACACGGCCCAGACUCCUACGGGAGGCAGCAGUGGGGAAUUUUGGACAAUGGGUGAAAGCCUGAUCCAGCAAUGCCGCGUGCAGGAUGAAGGCCUUCGGGUUGUAAACUGCUUUUGUACGGAACGAAAAGCCCCGGGUUAAUACCCUGGGGUCAUGACGGUACCGUAAGAAUAAGCACCGGCUAACUACGUGCCAGCCGCCGCGGUAA
Molecule: ribosomal RNA, 498 nt
Filed under: uncultured bacterium
Lineage: Bacteria
Description: partial 16S ribosomal RNA
Rfam family: Bacterial small subunit ribosomal RNA
Source: RNAcentral